This 397-nucleotide ribosomal RNA is filed under the name Solenysa lanyuensis. RNAcentral's name for it is "partial large subunit ribosomal RNA". Lineage: Eukaryota; Metazoa; Arthropoda; Arachnida; Araneae; Linyphiidae. The record is from RNAcentral.
GUAAUCUGCUCAUGAACAAAUAAAUAGCCGCAGAAUUUUUACUGUGCUAAGGUAGCAUAAUCAUUUACCUUUUAAUUAAAGGUCUGUAUGAAGGAUUCAACAUUUAAAUUACUUUUUUAUUUAAAUAUUUUAAAUUUUAAUUAAAUAUCAAAAUGUAUUUAUUUUUAAAAAAGACGAUAAGACCCUAUUGAACUUUACUAUAGUUAAGCUGGGGUAGCUAAUUAAAUAUAAUUUUAAUUUUUGUAAUAAUAAUAAAUUUUCUAAUAAAAUUAAGUAUAAAAGUUACCAUAGGGAUAACAGCGUUAUAUUAUUUUAAAGAUCAUAUUCAAAAUAUUGUUUACGACCUCGAUGUUGAAUUAAAAUUCCUUAAAAUGCAACAGUAGAAAAGGAGGUCUGU